CAGAUUGCAGGCUGCAACUCGCCUGCAUGAAGUCGGAAUUGCUAGUAAUCGUAGGUCAGCAUACUACGGUGAAUACGUUCCCGGGCCUUGUACACACCGCCCGUCAAACCAUGAGAGUUGGCAACACCCGAAGUCGGUAGUCUAACCGCAAGGAGGACGCCGCCGAAGGUGGGGUUGAUGAUUAGGGUUAAGUCGUAACAAGGUAGC
RNAcentral lists this ribosomal RNA (207 nucleotides) under uncultured bacterium. RNAcentral describes it as "partial 16S ribosomal RNA". It matches the Rfam family "Bacterial small subunit ribosomal RNA", at positions 1294 to 1500 of the family's 1533-position model. The record is from RNAcentral.